This 321-nucleotide ribosomal RNA is filed under the name uncultured eukaryote. RNAcentral describes it as "partial 18S ribosomal RNA". It matches the Rfam family "Eukaryotic small subunit ribosomal RNA", at positions 1470 to 1796 of the family's 1831-position model. The record is from RNAcentral.
CCCUUAGAUGUUCUGGGCCGCACGCGCGCUACACUGACGGUUUCAUCGAGCUUACAACCUUGGCUGAGAGGCCCGGGUAAUCUUCAAAGGCCGUCGUGAUGGGGAUAGAUUAUUGCAAUUUUUAAUCUUCAACGAGGAAUGCCUAGUAAACGCAAGUCAUCAGCUUGCAUUGAUUACGUCCCUGCCCUUUGUACACACCGCCCGUCGCUACUACCGAUUGAAUGGUUUAGUGAGUUCCUUGGAUUGCGCCCUCCUCCCUCGGGCGGAGGGUACGAGAAGAGGAUCAAACUUGACUAUUUAGAGGAAGUAAAAGUCGUANCA